CCGCUUCCUCCAAGAAGGUCAGCCGACCUCCCGUCAAAGCUUCUUCUCGAACUUCCAAGCCGAGCUCUCGCAGCAUCAAAUCAGCUCGGCCAUCUAGCCAUGGUGGGUCGAGCUCAACCUCGACGCCUGCUGAAGGGUCUAGAUCCGUUCCAACCUCCUCAGAGGUCGUGAGGGAAACUUCCCUAGCUAUUGUGGAGCAGACCCAAGCUACUGAACAAGUGGGGCAGGGUGCCGCCCAUUC
Molecule: long non-coding RNA, 241 nt
Filed under: Manihot esculenta (cassava)
Lineage: Eukaryota; Viridiplantae; Streptophyta; Magnoliopsida; Malpighiales; Euphorbiaceae
Description: long non-coding RNA (MESC_LNC001569)
Source: RNAcentral